CUGAAUCAGACUUUUGUUGUUUUAUAAACCUAAUCCCAGAAUUAACCUCAAAAGCCGGCAACUCUUGAGGCAAUCCCAGGGACUUAUAUCCCAACCCAAACCCAACCCCAACCCCGAUGUGGGACAAAUGUACCUAUAGGGGGACCUGCUGCUAAGUGGGAUACUACCACCCAAUACCCUUUCAACCCUGAGGCAAUUUGUAGUUAUCACUCCUCACUGACUGACUCCACACUUGCCGUCCGCUCCGAUCGAUGUCGUCGGCUAUGGCAUGCAUAUUCCGGCGAAGUGUUCGCCGUUGCCCGACCUAUCUUCGAUGUAAAUGUUUGUCAACGACUCCCUCGCGGCGUAAAGAAUCAGAAGAAUGAAAGAAUAGAGAAGAUACUGAUAGCCAACAGGGGAGAAUCGCAUGUCGAAUUAUGAGAACUGCCAAACGAUUGGGGAUUCAAACCGUUGCCGUUUAUAGCGACGCCGAUAAGCACAGUUUGCACGUCAAGUCGCCGACGAAGCCGUGCGUAUAGGUCCCCCCCCCUCGGCUCAGCUACUUAAAGGCGUCCGCCAUUAUCGAAGCUGCAAACAAAACUGGCGCUCAGGCUAUCCACCCAGGUUAUGGUUUCUUAUCAGAAAGUGCUGCAUUUGCUCAACUUUGCGAAGAUAAGGUUUAAUUUUUAUUGGACCUUCUGCAUCUGCAAUUCGAGACAUGGGGAUAAAAGUGCUUCAAAGAGAAUAAUGGGCGCAGCCGCGUCCCACUUGUGCCUGGAU
This is a non-coding RNA of Coffea arabica (coffee), 759 nucleotides long. The record is from RefSeq and is a predicted model, not a curated record. NCBI's taxonomy places the organism in Eukaryota, Viridiplantae, Streptophyta, Magnoliopsida, Gentianales, Rubiaceae.